CUUUCGUCUCCUUUUCCUUCUUCCUGAUCCACCAUCUCCUCUCCCCUUUCUCACACGCACAUCGCCGACAUCAUUGAUGCGUAGGCUGCUAUGACCCUUAGGUGUCGACACCGUUCUGCUAAUAGUUGCGAGCUCAUCUCCACUAUGAUAAAAUGUCGUGCCACCUUGCUUGAUUACUGCCGCCUGAUUGUCAGACAUUAGCCAUUGUGUGCCAUCACCCAUAUCGAUGCUGUCAUGCCCAACCGACCGACUACUUCAUUAGUGUUGAUCUCAGCCACCAUCUGCUCUUCAUCUUCUGUGCAUGGGAGAAAUAGCGGCAACCACACUCUCGACUGCUGAGUUUCCUUUCCACACGAUGUUGACGCUGUCAUCUAUCAUGUGAAUGCUGGUCUCACCGUGUAUUCCUUGAUCUAUGCCGAGUUUUCCUUUCUCUCGCGUUAUUGUGAUGCCCUGAUUCAUUGAUGCUACUAAUCAGUGUCGCCAUCACCGAGAGAAGGAGAAUCGAUGAAGGGAUUGAGGGCAAUCCUUUCCCCUUUCUCGUGGAGUCGAGAAGAGCUGCGGAUCUUGCAUCAGAGAAGUUCACCGCCUCUUCCUCUUCACUGGAUCUUGCAUCAAGGAGGUCAACCGUUGGUAGCUAGCUGUAGCCAUCGAACCCUCCACUUCGGCUAACCCUCUACCUCUAGGGUUAGUGCGGGACCUCUCGCCUUGCUUCAAUGUGAAGCUCCUGUCCAGAAUUUCCCAAAUUGCCUUGUACCAGCCAAGCAAGAAUGAUUCGACCAGAAGGUGAGGAUCAAUUGGGGGGAAACAACUUCAUUGUAGUUCCAUCCACAAAGUUUCAGCAGCAAGUGUCCCUUCGGCCAUAAUUCCUGGCAACAAGACCCUCGGCUGUGAGUCAACAGAGGAGACUCUCACAUUGGGACUUUGAUUCAAGAGAAGUGUCUCGAUAUGGGAUUGUUUAGCACAAUCUACAGUUAAAGG
Zingiber officinale is the source of this 978-nucleotide long non-coding RNA. RefSeq lists it as uncharacterized. The transcript has 3 exons. NCBI's taxonomy places the organism in Eukaryota, Viridiplantae, Streptophyta, Magnoliopsida, Zingiberales, Zingiberaceae. The record is from RefSeq and is a predicted model, not a curated record.